UACGUAGGGUGCAAGCGUUGUCCGGAAUUAUUGGGCGUAAAGAGCUCGUAGGCGGUUUGUCGCGUCUGCUGUGAAAACCCGAGGCUCAACCUCGGGCCUGCAGUGGGUACGGGCAGACUAGAGUGCAGUAGGGGAGAUUGGAAUUCCUGGUGUAGCGGUGGAAUGCGCAGAUAUCAGGAGGAACACCAAUGGCGAAGGCAGCUCGCUGGGACGGUACUGACGCUGAGACGCGAAAGCGUGGGGAGCAAACAGG
Molecule: ribosomal RNA, 253 nt
Filed under: uncultured bacterium
Lineage: Bacteria
Description: partial 16S ribosomal RNA
Rfam family: Bacterial small subunit ribosomal RNA
Source: RNAcentral